Molecule: long non-coding RNA, 2320 nt
Filed under: Triticum aestivum (bread wheat)
Lineage: Eukaryota; Viridiplantae; Streptophyta; Magnoliopsida; Poales; Poaceae
Description: long non-coding RNA (TAES_LNC014353)
Source: RNAcentral
UUAUUGUUAACUACCACUCCAGAAGGGAAAAGAAAAAAAGGAACAAUAGUUUGGCAACAUAUUCUACAUGAUUGGCCGACCACAUCUCGCCUUUCACGAAAAAAGUAACAAUAAUUUGACAACAUAUUCCACACGACUGGCCGACCACAUCUCGCCUUCCAUAAAAUUCCAGAGAGAAGUUUAUUUCAACAGCCAAAGCUUGUAAAUCACUCCUAAGUUUCAGGACUAGUUAAGGUGCUUCUACGUUAUACGGAAGCUCUAUUAUGAUUCAACGAAACUUAAUUAACAUAAUGUACGGAAAACUUCUCUCUGCUUCCUCCGCUAGAAGUGAGCCUCCAAAAUACCUGAAAUGGACAGAUGACGUGUUUAGUACCACAUAACAUCCAGUCCAUCUUAAAUUACUGUUACACAGAUGAUGCGUUUAGUACAACAUAACAACCUGCUGUUAUAAAUCACUGUUACAAAGAUGAUGGUACCAGAUAACAUAAAGGUUAAUGCUAACGACUCCACUGCACAAUUAGGGAGGCAAAUAGGCAAAGUAAUAACCAGUAUUAAAAGUAAGCAUGCAACAACAGAGUCCAGGUUUCUGAUCAAAAUUGACAGGCAAGGGUAUAAAUGGAGAUAAUCCAGCUGCAAUGAUGAAUGUUUGUUCAUCUACACUCCCAGUAAAGGCACAAGUUAUGUUGGGACACUAAUUACUUACUUUUACGGAAAGAACACAGUUUAAUAACCAUCCACCAAAUCUAAUAUGAUAAGUGCAUGUAAAAAAGUGCGGAAUUUUCUUGCAGUUCCUAAUUAUGUUUUAUUUGUCUCAUGCCCUUCCCUCCUCUGUCUACCCAAUGGCACACCUUAGUGCCAAUUGGGCAAAAUUAAUAAUCAUCAUCAAGGAUGAAAGGAGCUACUCAAUGGCACACUUUACUGCCUAUUGGCGAAAAUUAAUAAUCAUCAGCAAGUAUGAAAGGAGCAAUUCUUUUGGUCAACCUUGUAAUAUUCUUUCAGUCAUCUAGUCAAUAAUUAGAAAUAGAAAACAUUGUGUGUUCUUGAGCCAGUAGAAGGAUGAUCCAGGAAAAGAAAUUCCGCCAGUUUGUAUGCCAUCUCCAUACUACCGAGGCACAACAUUAUAUUAUUGAUCUUAGUAAUAGGUGUUGUUCAUUGUAUAGUCCUGGUCCGUUGACGCCGGUCACAAUCAAGAACUUUUCUUAAGAGUGAAUAUUCGGAGGUUGAAGUCACUUAGGCAAUGUGAAAUCAAAAUCAAUUCUCUGAUUACGACCACUCCGGUUACAUGUGAAUGGGGCCCAGAUGUAAGUUUGUUGGAAGAGAGAACUACAUGCACUUCUUGGAUGCCGAUGAAAAGAGUCAAACAACUAAUCAUCAAGCUCAUGGACCUAGAAGCGCUGGAGAGUUUCAGCUAGCUGUGGUUGCAAUUUUUAUGCUUAUUGAGUGUCUACCAAAAAUCUGCACUGACGCCUAAUUUUCCUUUAAAGGUAAGGGCUCCAAUCUAUAUAGACCAUGCACCUUCCUUCUUUUAAAUCAUAGGAGGGCACAUGCAUCCACCUAGCCAAAUCAAAACAGAAAGGAUAAACAACAUAUUACCUGACAGCUAGUGGUCACAACAUUUAAUCAACGAUAAGUCUUGUCUCUCUGACAUGCUUUUCCUCUGAAAUUCAAGUGCAGGGUAGUCACGGAGGGCACCAACAAGGAGUUGAGCUCAUUCAGCUUAAGCAUCCUGUGCCAAUCUACAUCGACCUUGGUGAGGUUUAGUCUGCAGAGGAGUGGCAUUUAGUGAACAUAUGAUAGAUUAACUAAAGACAGGCAAGAAGGAACAAAAAUCUAGCAAUGCAGUGCGAAUUCAGCUAGACUCCAGCAUGCUUACCACCACAUAUCGACUUAAUUUCUUCAGUGUGGAGAGAAGAGUGUCAUCAGGAGGAUUGUUGAGCAGAUCUUCCUGUUGAUUGCCAUCAUAGAUAAGCUUAUUCAGAGAAUGUCUUGAUCCAGAUGAAGCAGGUGAGCAGGAAAAGGUUCUAUUCCUUGUGCUUAUGCCAGAAAUAUCUGGGAGACCAAUUCUUCUCCUGCGCCUUGCUAGGUUUAUCUGGAGGUAAUUGACUCUGCCUUUAAUCUGGGAAUAAAUUCUUUCUCUGAGUGGUAUAGCAGGAUGUCAUGACCUAUUUGGAAGCUGGCAAAUAAAUCUCACUUGCAAUAUUAGAUAUUGUGCAUCCUCACCCUGUGAACUUCUAAACUGGCCAUAGUAUGAAGCUCCAGGCAAUCUUGCAGACAAAAAGAAGAGACACAAAUGUAGCAGGGAUUGGAGUCAAGGAGGCAU